Molecule: long non-coding RNA, 10819 nt
Organism: Gallus gallus (chicken)
Lineage: Eukaryota; Metazoa; Chordata; Aves; Galliformes; Phasianidae
Exons: 3
Source: RefSeq, a predicted model, not a curated record
GAGCGCCGCUCGGUGCCUCCGCGGCCCCUCCGCCCCGCUUCAGGUCCCAGGACGCCGCCGCCCGUUGGCGCUAACGGCCGCUGCCGUCCCCCAGCGCCCGCGGCUCUCACCCAGAGCUCCGAGGCCGGGAAGCCCGUAUGGAUGGGUCGUGCUCUCGGAGCUGCCCCGCGAGGCCCGUUUCUGUGCACCGCUCGCAAACUGUGGACGGUCAGGAGCGGAGGUGCUCUUCCCCCUUUGGCACAGCCCUCAGCACGCCUGAUUUGCCUGCCAAAUGAGCCCCGGCCGGGCACCCGCGUUUUCCUCCCCCUCCUCCACGCUUUCUGGUAGUCAAAGCGAAGUCUGGUUUGGGGAUUUGAAUUUCCCUAUUCCGACUCCGCGGGCAGUUCUGCGAGAGGCCGUGCACGCGGAAGCUGCAGAACAGAAGAUACUAUCGGCACCGACGCGCUUGCUCCCAUCUUCUACCUGCUACAUCACUGGAAAUAAGGGCCGCUCCGACAGAACCCAACAGAACAACCCAUGGCCGUUCGAUCUUUCAGCCCUCCUGCUCGUUCUCCCCAGUGCCCACACCCUUCUCUCACACGCAGGGUGAAUUCAGCCUGGGUCAGAGGGCUUAAUUUGGACGUGAGAAAUACGGAAGUAGUCUGCUGGUGUGGUGCCUCGGAGGCUGACAUCCACAGGCUACCUAUGGCACUGCGUGUGGAUGGGCAGAUCCUUCUCAGCUGACAGCACGCGCUUUGGGAUGGAAUGGUGCUACCUCACUUAACAGGUCUACAUGGUUACAGCAAACAAGCCAAAUGUGUGCAGGUUGCAUUCCCAAAAUUAUUUAUUACCUGCAUCUUGACAAGAUCCAACACACUGAUAUGCACCAGGGUUUUGCUGUUGGAAGAGUCUGUGAGCACAGCUUUUUUUUUUCUUUUCUUUUCUUUUUCCCCUUUUCCCUUCCUUUUCUAAUUAUCCCUCUCUCAGUCCCUCAGUAUCACUCCAUUUGGCUUCCAGGCUACCAUCUGUGUACCCUCAGGGAGUCAACAAGAGAAGAACAAGGGCCAGAAAGCAGAGCACAGGUGAAAAGAGGUAAGCAGGAGCUUCUUAAAAUAGUAAAGGGCUGUUCAAGCCUCUAGAGCACAAAAGCAUGUGACUAAGAGGAAUACCCUGCCCAAACUAAAAACCAAUAUACAUAAAAAUGUAAUUGGAAAGAGUGGGGAGAAAGAGGAAACUUCAGCUUCUAAUUCAUUCAGUAUUUCACUUGAAUUGCCUAUUAAAGGACAUUUGCCUCAGAUGUGGGAUAGAUCAUUUGCAGCAGAACAGGCUGGCCUUAGACAAUAUGGAUGCAGAGCAUACCAUAACAGUUCAGCCAAUGGCCAGAGAGCAUACAAACAGAAGUCAGACAGAAGACAUUCCACAGGCCACAGCUCAGACACCUCUGAUCAGAAUGUGUGCCAACACUUCCCAGCAACAUCUUCACUUGCCCCUUCACAUUGAAUUCUGCAGUAGGGGCAAGGCCUACUCAGCUCAACCAUGUCUGAAGCCGGCCUUCAGACACUGUUAACGCACAGGGAGUUGAUCCAGCAUCUCCUACAGGCUGCUGCCAGUGGCAACGCUACAACCAAAAAUGGAGUUUCCCAUUUGUUGUGGUGGAAGUGGUGCAGGAGGUGAAGAAAACAUCCGGUAGCCACAUGAUGAGGCACGUUUUGCUGACACGAGGCACUCGUGAAUAGGCAAGCUGAAGAAAAUUUAGAUUUGUUUCCUCAGCUUUGGGCGCAAGCCUAGAAUCUUGCUGAAGUAAGUAAGUGCUGAGCACAAGGUCUCACUCAGGCUGAAAGAUGUCAUUUCCCUCACAAAACCUCUUCACUGUCAUUGCUCACUUGAGUUCUGAGGCAUUUAAUAAAGUGAGGUGCGCUACAAAGCCUUUAAGGCGACCUCACCUCCCUCUGGCCACGCUGGAGGAAAGCUGCAAGAAGCAGCUGCUGGCUCUGUGCUCGCUGUGAGUCACCGAGCCAUCCACAGGUUGGUGCUACUGUUGGCACUGCAGGCAAACCCAGGGCUUCAGGCUCCUGCAGCUCCAGCAACCUUGGAGCCACAUGCACAGCCUGGGGACAUAUGAGCCCUUUUUCCAGUAACCACAGCUGUUUGGCAGUUUCUUGCUCCUAAGGGUAGGCUGAGGGUGGAUUUUGAUCCUCUAACCCCAAACUGCCCUUUCAUUUGGACAUUUUGGGGGUGAAACCAGUUACUCACAUUCUGUAAGGGACGCAUUUCAUCCAUUGCUCUUAAAGCACAAGCACAAUUUACUACAUUGCUAGUAUUUUGUCCCAGUGAAUUCCCUAAAGUGUAAGCAAUUCAGUGAAAUAAAACGUCCUCUGUUCUUGAGAGCUCAGAUGGAGGAAAAUACUAUUGGUUUUAAUUAGCAAUAUCCUUCAAAUGAAACCCCUAUUAACCAGAGGAGCAGGCAAUAUUUCAUCUCACUUCCUCUAGUUUACUUACUACUGCCUCCCUUCACUGUGGUUUACCAGCAGGAAACCGCUGGAGGGGACAUAUCCAGAUGAGAUUAAACAACAUACAAUUAUCAUCUUUACUAUUACCAGGCUGGCAGUAUUUCUGCUAGAUCUGAAAUGAGAUUCACAGCCAUUUUGGCUUCCAUUCACCAUGGAAAGAAGCCACUCUUUUAACUCCAGGCUCCCAGCCCCCAACUAUUUCAUUUGCUAAAGGCUGUUUUUCCUUUGGCUGGGUUCACCCUAGCCAAAGGUAAAUAGGAAGCAGCACCUGCAUGUCCCAGCAGUGGGCACCUCCAGGGGUAAAAGCACGGUGCAGAACAGCAGCUGUAGCCUCUCCUCUGCUGAGGUGGAAUGAAAGCCACCAAAGGGCUUCUUUCAGUGGUGGUGAGACUACCACCUGUGUGCCUGGCCUGGCACAUUCUGCUCCAGGUUCCACCCGAUGGUCUUCCAACGGAUGCAAAAACUCAAGGGUAUAGAAGAGAGAUAUAUAGAAGAGAGGAUGACAGAAACAGAAAAAAUAAAAAAGAAAAAGAAAAAGGAAAAAGAAAAAGAGAAAAGGGCAGAUUUCUCUUGGGCUCUGCUGAUCUCACUGUACUGCAGGUAGUCUGUCUGAAUUUCUUAGACAUUGCCAUGCUGGGUAACACAUUACCACUUUGCUGCUGUGUGGGUUGACUCGUAUAAAGCCUAAGAAAUAUGAAGCCAUCACAUACAUCACUUUUUAUGUGAAUAAGGGCAAUUAUAACCAAUACCUAACACAGAUGAUCAGCUUGGACUUGCAAAAAUCUUGCACAGUCUUUUAUGGGGUCAGUACUCUUUUGCACUUCCCACAGAGUGCUGCUGUGCUCUUUAUCAGGAACCUUCAGCGAAUUGAAAAGACAUCUCUAAUCCUUUAGCUACUUCGCAGAUAGUGAGACUUCAUUAAUUCCCAAGGAAUUUCUUCUGCCAGGUAAAGGAAAGUUCACCCAAGAAGGAAAUCUCCUCACUGCAAGUAAGUUGCAACACCUGACUGCUGGGGAGGGAUGGGAAAGGACUGGAGCAAAUUGGCAUGAUGAGGCUUGUGAAUGAAGUCAGUCAGGGAAGAAAGAGCCCAGGCACCAUGAGAUAGGCUGUUUCAGCACAUCUCCCAGGCAACUUCUGCUGGCAGGUCCCUUAAUGUUUGCAUCUUACUGCAGGCAGGCUGAUAAUGGGUACAAGAUUUCCAUUGUAAUAACCACUGAAUUCAGUUCUUAAUAAAAAACCGCUCCUCUUUCUUUGGUUGCCAUUAAGUUGACAAGCAUGCUUUCUGGGACUGACAUUUUCCAGAUUUGGUUUUAGCACACAUCAGGUUUGGGAUAUUUGAAAAGUGAAAGGAAAUCCAUGGAGCUAUUAAAGUAUGCAAAGAUUAUUUUUCAUGUGGUCUAACUCAAACUUUUGCAUCGACCAACUCAGAAGAAAAGUGAAAUUGAGACUGUAAACAUAAUUCUUUCGUAAAACUCCAUAGCUCUUGAUAAAACAUAUGUCCAGAGCUAGUUUUUAAGAAGUUUUAAAGCUGUGGCAUUUCUUGGUUGGUAAUUUUACUAUGUUUGUUAAGACUUCCUUAUGAAUUAUUUUAAUAUUCUGUAAUGAGAUAUAAUUGGAUGUCUUUCUUCAAAAACAGAAUAAAAGAUUAUUUUAUGUUUUGACUCGACAGUUCUUUCAAUAACUGAGGCAGGCUGAAAAAGUGAAGACACUAUGAAAUCACUAUUGAUCUCACUACACUAAUCUAAUUUAUUUGGGAAAGGCUAAAGCCAGUGAUGCAAAGUAUGGGAAAUCCAUUCAUAGGCAGAGAGAUUGAUCUUUGUUAAGGGCAUCCUACUGGAGGAAGAUUUGUUAAUACCUUUUCAAUCUCCCAUAAAUUCUUGUACUUAAAAGCUCUAAUGGCUCAUUUGUGAUAAUCCAGUCUGACCUCCUGUAUACGACAUGUCAUUGAACUUCCAUGAAUUAGUUCUUGCUUCAGCUAGGUGUCUUCUAUAAAAAUGUCCUGUCUUUCUAUAUGCGUUCCCAUUGAUGGAAAAUUUACUGAAAUCCUUGCUAUAUUGCUUCAAUUACAUUUGCUGCUAAAAAUGUGUGCCUCAUUCCUAGUUCGAACUGUCUGCUUCUCACUUAAUGCCCUUGUUAUGCUUUGGUCUGCUAUACUGAAAAGUCCGUUCAUGAUGUUCAGUGCUGGUACAUACUGAUCAUAACUGAGUUAUUUCUCCAUCAGUUCCUUUAUAAAGUAAAUACACAGCACUACUCUCAGAGUUUUUCACUAUGAACUGUUUUUCAUUUUCCACAAUAAUUCUCAUGGCUCUUCUCUGACUUUACUUCCCUUCAAGUCCCCUCAAAAUUUCUUCCUGAAAUAAAGGAGGACAUAGGUGUAGGUGAUAAUGCUCUCAAGAAACCCCUUCUCAAGCAUGCAUCCUUGUGAAGUUCCUAUUGGAUGUGUUUGUUAAUUACAUUUUAAAUUGUGAUGGUAGAAUCUAGGCUCCCAUUCUACCUUGCAUCUCCCAAUUGUUUUUAAGGCAUUCUGUUUGAAACAGCAGAAUGGUAAGAAAAAAUCAUGACUUAUUCUGUAGACCUCUUACGUAGCUGCUCUACUGACCAACGCUUGAAGUUGAAACACUGAACAUUUUAAUUCACAGGAAAACUCAAAAUCUUACAGAAGUCAUUUGUUUUAGUUCCCUAAAAUACAUCUAGUGCCAUGCAAAUUCCUGUACCUUUGAUGGCUCACUCACAUGGCCCAAAGCUGCAUUUAACUCUUUAUCUUUGGGGUUAAGUGGUAGAUGAUAAUGCCUUACUUGGAUCACGUACACAUGAAAUGAAUUUCUGGUAAGUUGGGCUCACAGGAGACAAAAAAAAAGGUGAGGAACCUUCAGCCUGGGCCUCAUAACAACAUCUGAGCUGCCCUUGUUCUGUGUUGUGAUGCUCAACUGAUAGUGCUGCUUUCUAAACCUUCCCUGCAGGAAAAACUUUCCCCACAGGAAUUCACAGAAGAUGCAAACUGAGGAUUGCUAGGCCCAAAAUGUUUGUCUUUCCAUUGGUGCCAUUUAUAACACAUCAUUUGGUGGACCCACUCGUGGUCCCUGCAGAAUGAACGUGCUCCUGCCUACUGAAGACAGAUAGAAUGUAACUUGGAAUUUAAUUUCUCAAAUGUGUGUCUCCUGGUGUUUUGGAAAUGCUGAAUCAUGUCUUUCAAUUACCUUGCAAGCUGCCGGCAUUUUUCCAAAAAUGAUCACUUCUUUGUCAUCCACAGCUCCAUUUUCUAGUUUUGCAGCCUGCUGAAUGGGUAAGAGUGUAGCAGGAAACAAAGAGUUUCUGACUCAUCCAUCAUGAGACAUCUUAACAGUUCAGUGAGUUUUAUUCUUCUGCUAUGACUCUUCUCUCGGCACUGAGAGUAGUAUCACAACAGUAUCUAUAUGUUUUUUCUGAUGCUGCAUUAGAACUUGUGAAUUCACUGAGCAUCCUGCUUCAGAAAUGAGCGAGCCACAAAAGACAGAUUCCAAAUACCCUCGGUUUUCUUAGUGUUUAACUUACACGUGAUUCAGGCCAAACUCAGAUAUUCUUAGACCUGAUUUCAUCCCACACCAACAAGUAGCAUGCAUAGCUUUGGCAGCAAGGCAUGGCAACCCAGAAGAGCCCAGCAAUGGCAGCUUUGCUCAGUUGCGUGCCCACUCUAGGCAACUUUCUGCACAGGGGCAAUGUAGUUUUGAGCAGGAAGUUUGGGGUAUUCAGUCCCAGAAAGAACAUUACAGAAGAGGCUUUAUUGCUCAGCCAGCUGCUGUCAGUUUGAGCAGCUUGGCUACUCACUGCUACUGAGGUGGCCAGAGUCUGCAAAGUGAUCCAUUCACAAGGCAGACAGGUCCAUACUGCCAGGCCUGGAGAAGUGGGAUGUUUCAGGUUCCCAGACAAGCCAAUUAUACUGGCGAGACACCACAAAGAGUUAUGACAGGCACACAUGGCAUUAGCUGAAUCCUGUGAUUUUCUACUGCGGUUAUUUAAUCAUUUAGCUACUAUUUGAGAAACUUCAGAACAUACCAGCUUCUCUUUAUCUUUUUUGUUUUUCCAUCUUUUCCUGUUUUAUCAUUUCUAUUUGUUACUGUUGCUUUUUCCAUUUUAUGCUCUAAGGUCGUUUUAUAUGAGUUAUUGGAUUUGACAGCCUGCCACUGUGGACACUGGAGAACUGGAGGAGACAAGCAACCAUAUAACCUUGCUCUUUUGGUCUGAUUGAAAGCUUCCUGACACUGUAGAAAUUUCUUCGUUUUCUUCAGCGAGUUUUAUUUCAGAGUCUUCUAGCACAAAUUUGGUACAAUAUAAAGGGGAAAGAGGUAAGGUGAGCAGCUUUCAACUGCCAGAGAACAUUGCUCUCUCUCCUCUCCCUCCUGAGUGAAAAACAUCACAUUGCUUCAGAGCUUGGUUAUGUUUACAGAUCACCAGGAGUUGGCUCCAGCUUGAAGAGCCUGCAGCAGCAUCAGAGCAGAAGGUGCAACAGCUGGGCAAGCAGUGCAGCACCCCAAACUGUGAGCCCUGCUGAAGGAUAGGUCCACAGAAUCUGGUAGCAUAGUGGUCACAGGGCUGUGCUGCUUUCAGGACAUGUAGGUACAUAGCAGUGUUUAAAUAAGCCACACGAAUUUCUCUCUGCAAACUUGGUCAAAAGCGGCUCUUUGCACGGUGCCUCAGAACAACGCAACCAUCCCCAUUGCCUUAUUUCAUGGUUUGAUUGCUGUUGUUCUUGUUUGCCUUCUAUCCUUUACAAGUCAGCUGCAGAAGUAAAAAGAUCAUUCAUCCAUUAAAUAGACGGGCGGACACAAUAACAUUCACCAUGGUGUUUGCCUGUUCUACCGGUUGGUUGAUAAUGUAAUUACUCUUUGCAUAACAGCUAAAAACUGAACAGACAUGGGGAUUGUGUUUCCAGAGAGUUUUGCACAGAUUCUGUAAAUGAGAUAGUGGCACUCAGGUAAUCUCCUGAUUCUUAUUGCUUUUGAAAGGCUGGUAUUUCUGUAGAUACUAUCUUCCUAAUUCUGUUGAGCGAGCAUGUCUGCACUAGGUGGGAACUGUUUCUUUCUGGCCUGCUUUCCUUUUCACACACAUUAUAAAUGGGGACUGGCCUCACAGAUUUUUCUCUCUCAGUACAGCGAGGUAUGUUACCUCUCACCUAUCAAAACAACAUCACUUCAUGGUGAGGUAUAGAAGAGCUGCAAAUUGGCUUUUAUUUUUGCACUGUGCCUUUCAACGUUCCCUGUACAGCAGCACCCCAUCAUAUGCUCUGAAUGUGGAUGAAGCCAGGCCCAGCAGCUCACUGCAGAAGUGAUCAUCAGCUCUUCAGUUCCGGUUACUCCAAACUCGAGAAGGGUUGGGAAAGCAGUUAUGAAGGACCACAUAACUCCCCUCAGCCAAGGAACAAAGACAACUCACAAUAAAGGAAAGGAGAAUGCAUUUAGUCUAGUUAUUUGUUUGGGCAGUUGAAAGUUAGUUUUAAUUAUGCCUAAUGUCUCAUGUAGUGCUAUCUUACAGCCUGUUGAAACAGGCCACUGUUGAAAUAAUGAAGACGUAGUAACGUGAGAUAAUGCUGCUGUGCAUACUGCUAAAACUGACCUGAGCUGUGAGAAGGAUCCAUUCUUUCUCAUGCAAACUGGGGCUCACUCUAGUAAAGCACUAAAAGUUGCAAAGCCAGCUUCAGCACCACUAUCUCUAACUCCCUGAGCACUGUUGCUUCCUCUGCAUGCAGCAUGGCAAGUGUGCUGAACCUGCUUUGCAGGGCAGUGAAGAAAAAGUGAGAGCCAGCACCUUUUCUACAUGGGCCAGUCCUGAGGAAGUCAAGUAUGGUUGCUAGCCCCACUCACAGGCAUAGAACAAGGCAUUCCACUUGAGGUAGGGCACUGCAAGGACCUCAUAAACGUCUCCCUAAUACUGAUCCACAGGAGACUUGUCUUCUGUGUGCUUCUUGGAGACAGUCCAACGUUGGGUUCAUAAGCAGCCAAACAACUGUCAUCCCUAGGACACAGAGCACAUUCCCCACUACUCCUCAGCAAGCUGCCAGCUCUGUAGGGCAAGAAAGCAGCAGGAGCACGGCAGCAGGGCUGCAGGGAAGUACUGGAAAUUGUGCUGCUGCAUGCAGGCAGGAGGAUGGGUACUGAAGUCCAGCGAUAAUCCCUGGGGGCUAAAUCAAAGACUCCAGCACAGACUGCAGCCCUGAGGAGCUUUUCAGGGAACCAGCAGCGAUCCUUUGGGAAGAAGCAUAGAGAAAGAUAAAGCACCCUAAGGGAAGUGAAGUCUUCUUGCAGAACAAGUGAGUAAAGGCCAGCAUGGAAGACAUAAAGUUCUGCAGUUUGACAGUGUGGACUAGUCAGAGUCUUGCAUUUUCAGAGAGGUACAAAAUUGUUUUGCUUUUCCCAGAACUCUGUAAGUGACUUCCUAUUUGGCCCACUUUUCUUUCAAAUAUCACUCACAGCUUGCUCAGCCCAGACCUAUGGAAUAAGCAGCAAAACUCCCAUCACCUCCAGCUGGAACAAGAUCAAGCCCAGGACAUAUAUAGCUUUUUAAAUCUCAUAUGACACCAAAACACCAAUUUAUAGCACAGUGUGGAUUUCUUUUAAAUGUCUGCAUGCUCAGUUUGCCUGAAGCCAGACCCCAAGAGAUACUGUGACCAACAGACUCUAUACAUCAGCUGUGGGAGCUCUGCAGAGGGGUUCCAGUGCAUAUGCAGGGGAAGAGAGUUGCCUUUAUGAGACUAUCAGGAAACUAUCUUUAGAAAAGUAAGGAAUUCUCUAAAAAAAAAUAAUCUAGAGUAAGCUUUGCCCUACAUAGAAACAGGAACUUCUGUUCCAACCCAUUCAUAAAUUGUAUUACUGGCAUUAUUACUUAUCAUAAUAGUAUUCUAUUAUUUUAUUGUAUUUACAUUCACAAUUGCUCUAUGAGGAGCUGAAACAUGUUUUAUCUAUUUUACAAAUAGAAAUAGCUACAGCACAGAAGUAAGGGUCAUAUUCAAGGUGACAGGAGAUUCUCAACACAGCCUACAGCAGAAUUCAGGUCUCCCAUGUCUCACUCUGCUUCCCUCUUCUUCAGGCUGCAGUGCCAGGCACUGUGCACAGGACCACGCAAAGCACGGAAAGCUGCCUCUUUUUUUUUAAGGCCCAGCUGGAGCAAUUUGCAAAGUCCAAGAGCAGUAACAGUAAGAUGUUCCAAAGGAUAGGAUCUGCUUUUGAAACAACGACUAAAAGAAAAACAGAGAAGGAAGAGAGAAAUCAGAAGAACUUGUAAGGAACAAAAUAGAAUGUACUGUCUGAGCCAGAAACAAGUUUACAUAAGGUUUAAUGGUGAUACUCUUACUUAUACUUAAUGGUACAUUAGCAUAUAUGGGGUAAAUUAUUACUGACACUGAGGCAUAAAAAUUAGAUCCAUCAGGCUAUAGAAGCAAGAAAGCUACUAUCUGGAAACAUCCUCCUAAAUUAACAAGCCAGUGAAACUACAGGUCAAUCUACUCCAAAUCUGUUGAGCAGAUGAUGCUUUGAAAUGGCCAUGGCUGAUGCUUCUGAAAGUGAUUCACAGACGUGCUUUAGAAGCAACGCUUCAAUAGAGAAAGAAAAGAAGCAGCACACUUAAAUGUAUUCCAAAAAAAAAAUCCCCAGCACAUUCAAAUUAGCUUCAGCCUGUUUUUUUAAGUCAUCUGGCAGAUACAGGGAACUAUGGUGGGCACAACCAUCUCAUGUAGCUGAAGUUGUCCAAUAAAGAAAAAUAGAACUUGAGAAAAAAGCCAAGGUGAAUAUUCCAAGGUAGGGUAGCAGAUGACACUGCUGUCUGGACAUCUGUUAUGCUGCAUGUGAUGGUUCCUCCAGUUACAAAACAUUAUUUUCAAGGAACUCUCAAAAAAGUUUAGACCUUUGGCAUCUCCAGUGACAUCUCUUAGAGUUUUCUCAGAUGAACACUCUUUUGCCAGGAGGCUGCAAGGAGUGGAGAAGGUAGAUAAGAGAUAUUUUUUUAAAUAAACCAGACAACUGGCACUCUGGAAAGAGGAAGACGUAUCCCCAAAAAAAGCCUAAAAAACAAGGAUACAAAAUUAUCAGAAUUUGUUAUCUUAGAAGUUCUCAGCAUGAAGGAAUGUAUGUUCCUGCAAAGUAAAUUUAUUCUAGGACUACAAGCUUAUCGCCAUUUUAUGCUACUUUAUGCAGAUUAAUAAAUCAGUCUACAGAGGAUCUUUCUAAAAAAUCAUUCAGUGUUGGUGUGUUUGUGUCUGUGUCUGUAUGUGUGUGCAUAUGUGUGUGAAAGAUUCAAAAGGAGAGGUCAACUAAUUAAUUAAUACAAAACAGAACAGAAUACUCCGAGUUGGAAGUGACCCA